This 353-nucleotide unclassified non-coding RNA is filed under the name Hevea brasiliensis (rubber tree). Lineage: Eukaryota; Viridiplantae; Streptophyta; Magnoliopsida; Malpighiales; Euphorbiaceae. The record is from RNAcentral.
GAUGAGAAAGUAGAAGGCAGAGGUUUGGCCCUUCCUUCUUGGAGUUUAUGACCUCAAGAGUUCUAAGAAGGAAAGGGAUAUUACAAAGACUCAAAAAAGAAAGGAAUAUGAAAAACUCCGUAAACAGUGCAGGCGGUUGAUAAAACGUAGGAAUGAAAGCUCUAAGUGGAAUGAAUUUAGGGACAUGAUUGAUGUUGGGGAAGAUGGCUUUCUUGUCCGAGACAUAGAUUCGCCUAGUUCCGAAGAUGUGGUUAGUGCUAGAGAGUCCCUUUCAAGCGAAGAAAGGUGCUCCAAUGUUGAAUUUUUAGAUGAAGCCUUCUGCUCUUUGUUGGAAGGGGAGGGGAGUUCAAGAC